AACGAACGCUGGCGGCGCGUCUUAAACAUGCAAGUCGAACGGCAGGAAGGGGCUUGCCCCUUCUGAGAGUGGCGGACUGGUGAGUAACACGUGGGUGACAUACCUUUUAGUUGGGGAUAGCUAUUAGAAAUAGUAGGUAAUACCGAAUGUGACCGUAUUUAUUAGAAGGAUACGAGGAAAGGAGCUAAGGCUUCGCUAAAAGAAUGGCUCGCGGCCCAUUAUGCUAGUUGGUGAGGUAACGGCCCACCAAGGCGAUGAUGGGUAUCCGGCCUGAGAGGGUGAACGGACACAUUGGGACUGAGAUACGGCCCAGACUUCUACGGGAGGCAGCAGUUAAGAAUAUUCCGCAAUGGACGCAAGUCUGACGGAGCGACGCCGCGUGGAUGAAGAAUGCCGAAAGGUUGUAAAAUCCUUUUAAGCCUGAUGAAUAAGCACAAUAGGGAAUGAUUGUGCGGUGACCGUAGGGCUUGAAUAAGCACCGGCUAAUUACGUGCCAGCAGCCGCGGUAACACGUAAGGUGCGAGCGUUGUUCGGAAUUAUUGGGCGUAAAGGGCAUGUAGGCGGAUAGGCAAGCUUGGUGUGAAAUGUUACAGCUUAACUGUGAGACAGCAUUGAGAACUGCCGAUCUUGAAUUACUGAAGGGUAACCAGAAUUCCACGUGUAGGGGUGAAAUCUGUAGAUAUGUGGAAGAAUACCAAUGGCGAAGGCAGGUUACCGGCAGAUAAUUGACGCUGAGUGCGAAAGUGCGGGAGCGAACAGG
This 760-nucleotide ribosomal RNA is filed under the name uncultured Treponema sp. RNAcentral describes it as "bacterial SSU rRNA". It matches the Rfam family "Bacterial small subunit ribosomal RNA", at positions 28 to 776 of the family's 1533-position model. Lineage: Bacteria; Pseudomonadati; Spirochaetota; Spirochaetia; Treponematales; Treponemataceae. The record is from RNAcentral.